This 497-nucleotide ribosomal RNA is filed under the name uncultured bacterium. RNAcentral describes it as "partial 16S ribosomal RNA". It matches the Rfam family "Bacterial small subunit ribosomal RNA", at positions 28 to 507 of the family's 1533-position model. The record is from RNAcentral.
GAUGAACGCUAGCGGCGGGCCUAAUACAUGCAAGUCGAGCGAACAGACGAGGAGGUUGCUCCUCUGACGUUAGCGGCGGACGGGUGAGUGACACGUGGAGAACCUACCUAGAAGACUGGGAUAAAUUCGGGAAAACGGAGCUAAUACCGGAUAAUAUAUUGAACCGCAUGGUUCAAUAGUGAAAGACGGUUUUCCUGUCACUGAUAGAUGGAUCCGCGCCGCAUUAGCUAGUUGGUAAGGUAACGGCUUACCAAGGCAACGAUGCGUAGCCGACCUGAGAGGGUGAUCGGCCACACUGGAACUGAGACACGGUCCAGACUCCUACGGGAGGCAGCAGUAGGGAAUCUUGCGCAAUGGGCGCAAGCCUGACGGAGCAACGCCGCGUGAGUGAUGAAGGUCUUCGGAUCGUAAAACUCUUUUAUUAGGGAAGAACAAAUGUGUAAGUAACUCUGCACGUCUUGACGGUACCCAAUCAGAAAGCCACGGCUAACUCCGUG